This 491-nucleotide ribosomal RNA is filed under the name uncultured bacterium. Its description in RNAcentral is "partial 16S ribosomal RNA". It matches the Rfam family "Bacterial small subunit ribosomal RNA", at positions 29 to 507 of the family's 1533-position model. The record is from RNAcentral.
AGUGAACGCUGGCGGUAGGCCUAACACAUGCAAGUCGAACGGCAGCACAGUAAGAGCUUGCUCUUACGGGUGGCGAGUAGCGGACGGGUGAGGAAUACAUCGGAAUCUACUUUUUCGUGGGGAUAACGUAGGGAAACUUACGCUAAUACCGCAUACGACCUACGGGUGAAAGCAGGGGAUCUUCGGACCUUGCGCGAUUGAAUGAGCCGAUGUCGGAUUAGCUAGUUGGCGGGGUAAAGGCCCACCAAGGCGACGAUCCGUAGCUGGUCUGAGAGGAUGAUCAGCCACACUGGAACUGAGACACGGGCCAGACUCCUACGGGAGGCAGCAGUGGGGAAUAUUGGACAAUGGGCGCAAGCCUGAUCCAGCCAUACCGCGUGGGUGAAGAAGGCCUUCGGGUUGUAAAGCCCUUUUGUUGGGAAAGAAAAGCAGCAGGUUAAUACCCCGCUGUUCUGACGGUACCCAAAGAAUAAGCACCGGCUAACUUCGUG